AUCCAUCUGACAAGUCCUAAACGGGACGAAACCCGCGUCCUAGAU
This 45-nucleotide non-coding RNA is filed under the name Schistosoma mattheei. The record is from RNAcentral. Lineage: Eukaryota; Metazoa; Platyhelminthes; Trematoda; Strigeidida; Schistosomatidae.